GCGGUCAUCGUAUAAUGGCUAUUACAACAGCUUUCCAAGCUGAUGAUGCGGGUUCUGUUCCUGAUGACCGCUCCA
This is a transfer RNA of 75 nucleotides. It matches the Rfam family "tRNA". From Rfam's summary of the family: Transfer RNA (tRNA) molecules are approximately 80 nucleotides in length. Their secondary structure includes four short double-helical elements and three loops (D, anti-codon, and T loops).